AGUGAACGCUGGCGGUAGGCCUAACACAUGCAAGUCGAACGGCAGCACAGUAAGAGCUUGCUCUUACGGGUGGCGAGUGGCGGACGGGUGAGGAAUACAUCGGAAUCUACUUUUUCGUGGGGGAUAACGUAGGGAAACUUACGCUAAUACCGCAUACGACCUACGGGUGAAAGCAGGGGAUCUUCGGACCUUGCGCGAUUGAAUGAGCCGAUGUCGGAUUAGCUCGUUGGCGGGGUAAAGGCCCACCAAGGCGACGAUCCGUAGCUGGUCUGAGAGGAUGAUCAGCAACACUGGAACUGAGACACGGUCCAGACUCCUACGGGAGGCAGAAGUGGGGAAUAUUGGAAAAUGGGCGCAAGCCUGAUCCAGCCAUACCGCGUGGGUGAAGAAGGCCUUCGGGUUGUAAAGCCCUUUUGUUGGGAAAGAAAAGCAGCAGGUUAAUACCCCGCUGUUCUGACGGUACCCAAAGAAUAAGCACCGGCUAACUUCGUG
This 492-nucleotide ribosomal RNA is filed under the name uncultured bacterium. Its description in RNAcentral is "partial 16S ribosomal RNA". It matches the Rfam family "Bacterial small subunit ribosomal RNA", at positions 29 to 507 of the family's 1533-position model. The record is from RNAcentral.